Molecule: ribosomal RNA, 440 nt
Filed under: uncultured bacterium
Lineage: Bacteria
Description: partial 16S ribosomal RNA
Rfam family: Bacterial small subunit ribosomal RNA
Source: RNAcentral
CCUACGGGAGGCAGCAGUGGGGAAUAUUGCACAAUGGGGGAAACCCUGAUGCAGCGACGCCGCGUGAGUGAAGAAGUAAUUCGUUAUGUAAAGCUCUAUCAGCAGGGAAGAAAAUGACGGUACCUGAGUAAGAAGCCCCGGCUAACUACGUGCCAGCCGCCGCGGUCAUACGUAGGGGGCAAGCGUUAUCCGGAUUUACUGGGUGUAAAGGGAGCGUAGACGGCAGUGCAAGUCUGGAGUGAAAGGCGGGGGCUCAACCCCCGGACUGCUCUGGAAACUGUACGGCUGGAGUGCAGGAGAGGUAAGUGGAAUUCCUAGUGUAGCGGUGAAAUGCGUAGAUAUUAGGAGGAACACCAGUGGCGAAGGCGGCUUACUGGACUGUAACUGACGUUGAGGCUCGAAAGCGUGGGGAGCAAACAGGAUUAGAUACCCCAGUAGUC